UACAGAGGGGGCAAGCGUUAUUCGGAAUUAUUGGGCGUAAAGGGCGCGUAGGCGGCCUGGCAAGUGGAAGGUGAAAUCCCUCGGCUUAACCGAGGAACUGCCCUCCAAACUGCUUGGCUUGAGUCCGGGAGAGGUGAGUGGAAUUCCCAGUGUAGCGGUGAAAUGCGUAGAUAUUGGGAGGAACACCGAUGGCGAAGGCAGCCCCCUGGGUCAAAACUGACGCUCAUGCACGAAAGCGUGGGGAGCAAACAGG
This 253-nucleotide ribosomal RNA is filed under the name uncultured bacterium. RNAcentral's name for it is "partial 16S ribosomal RNA". It matches the Rfam family "Bacterial small subunit ribosomal RNA", at positions 524 to 776 of the family's 1533-position model. The record is from RNAcentral.